CCUUCGAAGCUCAGUGGUAGAGCGGAGGACUUAGAAUCCUUAGGUCGCUGGUUCAACUCCGGCUCGAAGGA
Molecule: non-coding RNA, 71 nt
Organism: Micropterus salmoides (largemouth bass)
Lineage: Eukaryota; Metazoa; Chordata; Actinopteri; Centrarchiformes; Centrarchidae
Source: the annotation of a RefSeq genome assembly